GAAAUAGGAUAAAAAAAAUUACUUAGCUGACAGAAAUGAAGACUUUUGUAGUGGAUCAGGUCACCAUUGCUUUAAGCCAUUGAUAGGAACUGGUGUUUUCAAAGAUAAUGUAAAUUAGUCCUCCUCCAUCUUCAGAAAUCAGUAUAAUGUAGGUCAGGUGCAGAUUUCUUCUGCCUGUUUGCUCACCAACCUACAAAGAGAGGGGCAGUGGCUUGAGUAAGUCUGUAAAAGCAGUGUUCUGUUGGCCGGAACACCUCCUAUGAUACUAUGCAUUCUUCCAGGUAAGUGUACCUGAUAUGUCGGUUACUGCUGAAUACUAAAGUCAACAUCAUCUGUGCUUUUUGGAGAUAUGUAGCUAUGGUGAAAGUGCUGCUACAAGUUUUAAAAUCAAUUUCUACUCUGCUGCGGAAGAAGUAUAUGCCUCAGGAAAGCAGUUUUGGUGUCAAAAAGCUAGGUAAGCACAGAACAGUUCCUCUUCAACAUAAGUACAACCUUCUUAUAUAUUACUGUGUAUUAAAUUCCUAGUAAAAUAAGUGGUAAUUAAAUGUUAAUAUUCCAAAUGUUAAUUGGCUUACAAAUUUAGGUCUGCCAAACAAUUUGGAAGUGACAAGGUGGAAUACGCCUAAAGAAGCCUGAGCACUGAAUUUAGAAAGAGACUAUUGCAUCCCAGGCUUCACUGUGGCAUGAUGGCAGAAGAGAAUCACUUCAGUCAGAAAGACACCCAAUGAGAAAGGGCUGAUCCUUGUCAAGCUAAGAACCUCCUGCACUGCAGUAGCCUGCCCCAUGACAAGUGUAGACCAAGAGAUCAUGCACCUUGGAAAAUAAUGAGACUAUGGGAAGAGAAUGACCUUCCUGAGGGGUACAUUCCGAUCAGUGGCAUGAACCACAAAUAGUGCCCAGCAGUUGGCGAGUUGCAGAUGCCUGAAUACCACAGUUUUCAUCUCCUUUCAAUAUCCUUGACUCAUGCAUCCUGUCUGAGCUAACGUAGGUUUCCUGAUUGCAGAGUGUCUGCACCCUUGGACUCGCAACAAGGGCCUGAGCCAUCCCAGCAAGCCCACUCUUCCUCUCUAGACUUCAGCUUCACUGUGCUUUUAGUGACUGUCUCACAAAGCCACUUUGUUAUGCCAAUUCACAUCUGGAAUCUCAGGAUUUACACUGGUAUAGCAGUCCACUGAUUUUCCUCUAAUUUUAAAAUAAUUCUAGAGCAUCACCCAAAAAUCCCGUUCAGUUCUGACUUUAUUUGACGUCUAAAAAGAAAAUGAGCUACCACCACCACUUACACUCAUCAUACUACUAUUAAUACACUAUCACAUUUUCACGCUUGAACGAAAUGCCCCCAAAACAGAUCUGAACCAGAAUAGACUAUUCCAUGUUUGUAAGGUACUUCUAUCUUUAUUUCCCUAAUACUCUGAAAUUCUCCUCUCCAAAUUGCAGUCAUGUUCUAGAUACUGUAGCAGUGAUUUUGCAUUGCUUAAGACCAUUUAUAUUUCUACAAGUACAAAGAUGAAGUGCAAUGAGAGGUAGUCCAAGGUGCUGACCUUUGAAAGUAAAAGGAUGCCUCUUGGAACAGAAAGAAGAAAUAAAAAAAAAAGGGGGGAAAAAAAAAAGAUUUAUUUUUAGCUCCGAUUCAGAAAUAUCAGCCAGGAACAGAAAGAACAGAGUUGCCAGGCAGCAAUUUUCAUGAGCAAGUACCCUAGCUAUGAUUAAAGUAUAAAGAGUUGCAGUUCUGUUGCAAACUUGUUAAUAGCAUUACUAGGUAUGCAAAACAGUUGUCUUUCCCCCACCCCGUUUUAAGCCACACAGUUAAUACAAAACUCAAAUUAGCAUCACUGCCAUUAUUCCCACAUGCCACAGCAACAGGCCAAGUAAAAAUACAUGACAGAGUUGGACAAAUGCUUUAUUAAAUGACCAAUUUCAAACUUUAGUUGUGCUCACUUCCAUGUUCAGUUAUUUACCAUAGAGCCCUUUUUCCUUACCAUUAAACCCACUAUUUCCUUAGCAUCAAAAAUACCUCUCCCCAGAUCUCAUGACAAGGCAAUAUUUUUAUCUGGGUUUUACAGCAGAAGGAACCAAGACACAAGGUCCAUACAGGAAGUCUGUGGCCCAGCCAAGACUCCAGGUCUCCUGAGACUCAGUCCAACGCUUUGACCACACAGUCAAGCACUUUCUCUUCUGUAGUCUUUUGAUCUUUUCUUUCCAUCAUGAAUGACUAAGCUAUAAGGAAUCUUUGUCUAAAGAGCAGGCUUAAAGAACAAAUACAUACUUAAGAUUAUUUACAAAAACUAAUCAAACAAGCUUUUUAAGCAAGACUUGAGUCUUACCCAGUUCUGACUAGGUAUUCAAAGGGUACAAGCUUAUAUGGAACUAUAGACACCUAACGUUGUAAACAUGUUCAAAAGUUUUAACAAAUAUGAACUUAGGGCCAAUGAACCAUGCUCAAACAGCCCACAAGGAAACAAAGCCAGCUUUAGUUUUCAAAAGAUCAAUGCAUGUACAUUAUUUGUGCAAUGAGGCAAUGUACAAGACCAGAAGUCUAGUGUCGUCCAAAUUCAAAUUUAUUUGCCUAAAUAAUGGACUGGUCAUCUAAGCAAUAAUUACCUCAAUAAUUAAGUGGGUAGAGGACAGUGCCUCACCUUAAAGCACAACAGCAAGGGAAGAAAUGGAGUAUGCAGCACUUUGAGUAGGAAAUUUACUUCAUUUGAGGCAACAGAUACAGGUUAGGUUGGUCAGUUAGUUGUUUGUUUUUUAAAAAAUUCAAGAAUAAUGCUAUUAUCCCAAGGUGGUGUCCACCCAAAAGAAACAAAAGAUGAGGAACCUGAAGGGUAAAUGCGAAGGCAGGAAGUAGUGAAGCAGGAAAAAGGAUUCAAAUGUCAGAGAUCAUGUUUAGUAAGGUAUAAAUCAUACCUCAUGACAUCAUAAAGUUCUGUCCCCCCUGGCUGGGAAAGAAAGUUGCCAUAUUUUCCUUCUUCCGUUGGCUAUUUCUACCAAUUACUCACUGUGUUUAUUCUACCUAUGAAUGGGCUGUGAAGGCAUUAGCCACUCUACCACCAGGCAGAAUGGUCAUAUACAGAGCAGAGCCCUGCUGCAGAGUCCUGGUUGAACAAGACUUUCUCUCCCUGCACCAAAGAAAUCCAGUUGAGACCAGUACUAGCCAUCUUGUAGUGAUGCUGUGAUAACCAUGAUAUGUAGUGCUUCCUCAGUUCUGUUUUUAAGCGCUGGGCACUCUCCUUUA
Molecule: long non-coding RNA, 3232 nt
Organism: Grus americana (Whooping crane)
Lineage: Eukaryota; Metazoa; Chordata; Aves; Gruiformes; Gruidae
Exons: 3
Source: RefSeq, a predicted model, not a curated record